GAUGAACGCUGGCGGCGUGCCUAAUACAUGCAAGUCGAGCGAACGGACGAGAAGCUUGCUUCUCUGAUGUUAGCGGCGGACGGGUGAGUAACACGUGGAUAACCUACCUAUAAGACUGGGAUAACUUCGGGAAACCGGAGCUAAUACCGGAUAAUAUUUUGAACCGCAUGGUUCAAAAGUGAAAGACGGUCUUGCUGUCACUUAUAGAUGGAUCCGCGCUGCAUUAGCUAGUUGGUAAGGUAACGGCUUACCAAGGCAACGAUGCAUAGCCGACCUGAGAGGGUGAUCGGCCACACUGGAACGGAGACACGGUCCAGACUCCUACGGGAGGCAGCAGUAGGGAAUCUUCCGCAAGGGGCGAAAGCCUGACGGAGCAACGCCGCGUGAGUGAUGAAGGUCUUCGGAUCGUAAAACUCUGUUAUUAGGGAAGAACAUAUGUGUAAGUAACUGUGCACAUCUUGACGGUACCUAAUCAGAAAGCCACGGCUAACUACGUG
Molecule: ribosomal RNA, 497 nt
Filed under: uncultured bacterium
Lineage: Bacteria
Description: partial 16S ribosomal RNA
Rfam family: Bacterial small subunit ribosomal RNA
Source: RNAcentral